This 460-nucleotide ribosomal RNA is filed under the name uncultured bacterium. RNAcentral describes it as "partial 16S ribosomal RNA". It matches the Rfam family "Bacterial small subunit ribosomal RNA", at positions 338 to 795 of the family's 1533-position model. The record is from RNAcentral.
CCUACGGGAGGCAGCAGUGAGGAAUAUUGGUCAAUGGACGAGAGUCUGAACCAGCCAAGUAGCGUGAAGGAUGACUGCCCUAUGGGUUGUAAACUUCUUUUAUAUGGGAAUAAAAUGUUCCACGUGUGGGAUUUUGUAUGUACCAUAUGAAUAAGGAUCGGCUAACUCCGUGCCAGCAGCCGCGGUAAUACGGAGGAUCCGAGCGUUAUCCGGAUUUAUUGGGUUUAAAGGGAGCGUAGGUGGAUUGUUAAGUCAUUUGUGAAAGUUUGCGGCUCAACCGUAAAAUUGCAGUUGAAACUGGCAGUCUUGAGUACAGGAGAGGUGGGCGGAAUUCGUGGUGUAGCGGUGAAAUGCUUAGAUAUCACGAAGAACUCCGAUUGCGAAGGCAGUUCACUGGACUGCAACUGACACUGAGGCUCGAAAGUGUGGGUAUCAAACAGGAUUAGAUACCCUAGUAGUC